Molecule: ribosomal RNA, 492 nt
Filed under: uncultured bacterium
Lineage: Bacteria
Description: partial 16S ribosomal RNA
Rfam family: Bacterial small subunit ribosomal RNA
Source: RNAcentral
AGUGAACGCUGGCGGUAGGCCUAACACAUGCAAGUCGAACGGCAGCACAGUAAGAGCCUGCUCUUACGGGUGGCGAGUGGCGGACGGGUGAGGAAUACAUCGGAAUCUACUUUUUCGUGGGGGAUAACGUAGGGAAACUUACGCUAAUACCGCAUACGACCUACGGGUGAAAGCAGGGGAUCUUCGGACCUUGCGCGAUUGAAUGAGCCGAUGUCGGAUUAGCUAGUUGGCGGGGUAAAGGCCCACCAAGGCGACGAUCCGUAGCUGGUCUGAGAGGAUGAUCAGCCACACUGGAACUGAGACACGGUCCAGACUACUACGGGAGGCAGCAGUGGGGAAUAUUGGACAAUGGGCGCAAGCCUGAUCCAGCCAUACCGCGUGGGUGAAGAAGGCCUUCGGGUUGUAAAGCCCUUUUGUUGGGAAAGAAAAGCAGCAGGUUAAUACCCCGCUGUUCUGACGGUACCCAAAGAAUAAGCACCGGCUAACUUCGUG